This is a long non-coding RNA of Limanda limanda (common dab), 427 nucleotides long. RefSeq lists it as uncharacterized. The record is from RefSeq and is a predicted model, not a curated record. Lineage: Eukaryota; Metazoa; Chordata; Actinopteri; Pleuronectiformes; Pleuronectidae. The transcript is spliced from 3 exons.
CCACACACACACACAAACAAAGAGGCGUUAGGCCGAGACGCUGAAAGUCCGGAUUUAAAGUGCAGAAAAUUAAGCCAUUGAAUCUGCCUGUCCAUGACGUACAAAGACACACUAUGAGCCAGUAUGAUCCGACCAGACCUUACAUCAGCAUUGAGGAGUUGUCGGAGAAGAAAGAGGCUGAUUGAAGCGGGACAGAUGACAUGGAUCCAUCCUUCCACAGCCAGGAGUGCACCGACCUGUGUCCCACACUUCAUAUAAGACUUGAAGCUACACUGAUCUCACAGCUACACACCACAGACGUCUACACACUGGAGAAGAGUCCCACAAAGAAGUCAUGACCCAGAGGCUGCAGAGAAACAUUUCAAGCCUCAUCUGAGUUUUUGUACAAUAUUUUUGCUGUAUGUAAAUAAAGCUUUCACUCCACAUA